GGCAGUUCUCAGGUGGCACACCCCGGAAUCAGGCUCCCUCCUCUCUGGUUCUGGGGUGCAUCACCCGAGAACCGCU
Non-coding RNA from Myotis brandtii (Brandt's bat), 76 nucleotides. NCBI's taxonomy places the organism in Eukaryota, Metazoa, Chordata, Mammalia, Chiroptera, Vespertilionidae. The record is from Rfam.